GGUUCUAUGGUCUAGUGGUUAUGACUCCGGAUUUUGAUUCCGGCAUCCUGGGUUCGAAUCCCAGUAGGACCU
This 72-nucleotide transfer RNA is filed under the name Uncinocarpus reesii 1704. RNAcentral describes it as "tRNA-Gln (TTG) (tRNA-Gln-TTG-2-1)". It matches the Rfam family "tRNA". From Rfam's summary of the family: Transfer RNA (tRNA) molecules are approximately 80 nucleotides in length. Their secondary structure includes four short double-helical elements and three loops (D, anti-codon, and T loops). Further hydrogen bonds mediate the characteristic L-shaped molecular structure. tRNAs have two regions of fundamental functional importance: the anti-codon, which is responsible for specific mRNA codon recognition, and the 3' end, to which the tRNAs corresponding amino acid is attached (by aminoacyl-tRNA synthetases). tRNAs cope with the degeneracy of the genetic code in two manners: having more than one tRNA (with a specific anti-codon) for a particular amino acid; and 'wobble' base-pairing, i.e. permitting non-standard base-pairing at the 3rd anti-codon position. The record is from RNAcentral. Lineage: Eukaryota; Fungi; Ascomycota; Eurotiomycetes; Onygenales; Onygenaceae.